AGAGUUCUAGCUUCAACAGUGUUUGAACGGAGCCCU
This 36-nucleotide small RNA is filed under the name Pelobates cultripes (western spadefoot toad). It matches the Rfam family "Iron response element I". Lineage: Eukaryota; Metazoa; Chordata; Amphibia; Anura; Pelobatidae. The record is from RNAcentral.